GUAAAUUUUUGUGAUCUUGUAGUGAGCAAUGUUUCUUUUUUUCUUUUCUUUUCUUAAUUUAUUUUAAUUAGUAAGUAUAUAUGAUAGCAAAAUGCAUUUUGACUCAUUGUACACAAUUGCAGUGAAAAAGAAACUUGAUCAGAGAAGGAAAAUAACCACAGUACACUACAUGGCUCAGCUGUGAAUAAUAUUUACAAAGUGAGUAAUAUACAUACAGAAAUACUGUGAUAUCAUUUUUUUCAGGAAAUAGGGGAGAUGAUGUGCAUGUGUGAGAGAUGGGUGUAAGAAACCUGAGUUCCCAUCUUUCAUCAGAGAAAAAGCAUCCCAGCUGAAGCAGGGAAAUAAUAAACAUUUGUACAGUAUGUUAUUUAGCGAUAGGAGGUAAAUACCAGAAACAGCAACAAGAAGAAUGGACAGAGAUUAUCUCUGAAUAGAAGUUGGGUGUGG
Molecule: long non-coding RNA, 447 nt
Filed under: Marmota monax (woodchuck)
Lineage: Eukaryota; Metazoa; Chordata; Mammalia; Rodentia; Sciuridae
Source: RNAcentral